RNAcentral lists this ribosomal RNA (554 nucleotides) under Naganishia albida. Its description in RNAcentral is "partial large subunit ribosomal RNA". It matches the Rfam family "Eukaryotic large subunit ribosomal RNA", at positions 93 to 652 of the family's 3401-position model. Lineage: Eukaryota; Fungi; Basidiomycota; Tremellomycetes; Filobasidiales; Filobasidiaceae. The record is from RNAcentral.
GUGAAGCGGGAAGAGCUCAAAUUUGAAAUCUGGUAGCCUUCGGUUGCCCGAGUUGUAAUCUAGAGAAGUGUUUUCCGUGCCGGCCCAUGUACAAGUCCCUUGGAACAGGGCGUCAUAGAGGGUGAGAAUCCCGUCCUUGACAUGGACCCCCGGUGCUUUGUGAUACACUUUCAACGAGUCGAGUUGUUUGGGAAUGCAGCUCAAAAUGGGUGGUGAAUUCCAUCUAAAGCUAAAUAUUGGCGAGAGACCGAUAGCGAACAAGUACCGUGAGGGAAAGAUGAAAAGCACUUUGGAAAGAGAGUUAAACAGUACGUGAAAUUGUUGAAAGGGAAACGAUUGAAGUCAGUCAUGCUCUUGGGACUUACCUCCCUUGAGUGGGGUCAACAUCAGUUUUGAUCGAUGGAUAAAGGCACGGGGAAGGUAGCACUCUCGGGUGAACUUAUAGCCUCGCGUCAUAUACAUUGAUUGGGACUGAGGAACGCAGCAUGCCUUAUGGCCGGGAUUCGUCCACGUACAUGCUUAGGAUGUUGACAUAAUGGCUUUAAACGACCCGU